GCGGGGAUAGUGGCUUCUCGCAGACUCCGCGACCUACUGACCCGGCAGAGAUGGUAGAGUGCUUCAACAAGAUUUCGAGAGACGCUGACUGUCGGGCGGUGGUGAUCUCUGGUGCAGGAAAAAUGUUCACUGCAG
This 135-nucleotide non-coding RNA is filed under the name Pongo abelii (Sumatran orangutan). The record is from RNAcentral. RNAcentral also lists the same sequence under 1 other name. Lineage: Eukaryota; Metazoa; Chordata; Mammalia; Primates; Hominidae.